AUUAGUGGCGAACGGGUGAGUAACACGUGAGUAACCUGCCCUUGACUCUGGGAUAAGCCUGGGAAACUGGGUCUAAUACCGGAUAUGACUCCUCAUCGCAUGGUGGGGGGUGGAAAGCUUUUUGUGGUUUUGGAUGGACUCGCGGCCUAUCAGCUUGUUGGUGAGGUAAUGGCUUACCAAGGCGACGACGGGUAGCCGGCCUGAGAGGGUGACCGGCCACACUGGGACUGAGACACGGCCCAGACUCCUACGGGAGGCAGCAGUGGGGAAUAUUGCACAAUGGGCGAAAGCCUGAUGCAGCGACGCCGCGUGAGGGAUGACGGCCUUCGGGUUGUAAACCUCUUUCAGUAGGGAAGAAGCGAAAGUGACGGUACCUGCAGAAGAAGCGCCGGCUAACUACGUGCCAGCAGCCGCGGUAAUACGUAGGGCGCAAGCGUUAUCCGGAAUUAUUGGGCGUAAAGAGCUCGUAGGCGGUUUGUCGCGUCUGCCGUGAAAGUCCGGGGCUCAACUCCGGAUCUGCGGUGGGUACGGGCAGACUAGAGUGAUGUAGGGGAGACUGGAAUUCCUGGUGUAGCGGUGAAAUGCGCAGAUAUCAGGAGGAACACCGAUGGCGAAGGCAGGUCUCUGGGCAUAAC
This 635-nucleotide ribosomal RNA is filed under the name Arthrobacter sp. RNAcentral describes it as "bacterial SSU rRNA". It matches the Rfam family "Bacterial small subunit ribosomal RNA", at positions 91 to 740 of the family's 1533-position model. Lineage: Bacteria; Bacillati; Actinomycetota; Actinomycetes; Micrococcales; Micrococcaceae. The record is from RNAcentral.